GCACUGCUGAUGAGUCCCAUACAGAACGAAACAGCUGUCCAGUGC
RNAcentral lists this non-coding RNA (45 nucleotides) under Echinostoma caproni. The record is from RNAcentral. Lineage: Eukaryota; Metazoa; Platyhelminthes; Trematoda; Plagiorchiida; Echinostomatidae.